UCCCUUGUAGCUCAGUUGGUAGAGCGGGUGGCUGUUAACCACUAGGUCGGCAGUUCGAGUCUGUCCGAGGGAG
RNAcentral lists this transfer RNA (73 nucleotides) under Spirochaetaceae bacterium. RNAcentral's name for it is "tRNA-Asn". It matches the Rfam family "tRNA". From Rfam's summary of the family: Transfer RNA (tRNA) molecules are approximately 80 nucleotides in length. Their secondary structure includes four short double-helical elements and three loops (D, anti-codon, and T loops). Further hydrogen bonds mediate the characteristic L-shaped molecular structure. tRNAs have two regions of fundamental functional importance: the anti-codon, which is responsible for specific mRNA codon recognition, and the 3' end, to which the tRNAs corresponding amino acid is attached (by aminoacyl-tRNA synthetases). tRNAs cope with the degeneracy of the genetic code in two manners: having more than one tRNA (with a specific anti-codon) for a particular amino acid; and 'wobble' base-pairing, i.e. permitting non-standard base-pairing at the 3rd anti-codon position. RNAcentral also lists the same sequence under 3 other names. Lineage: Bacteria; Pseudomonadati; Spirochaetota; Spirochaetia; Spirochaetales; Spirochaetaceae. The record is from RNAcentral.